GGUAAUACAGCUCAGUGGUAGAGCACAUGCUUAGCAUGCACAAGGUCCUGGGUUCAAUUCCUCAGUACCUCCA
RNAcentral lists this transfer RNA (73 nucleotides) under Camelus bactrianus (Bactrian camel). It matches the Rfam family "tRNA". Rfam says of the family: Transfer RNA (tRNA) molecules are approximately 80 nucleotides in length. Their secondary structure includes four short double-helical elements and three loops (D, anti-codon, and T loops). RNAcentral also lists the same sequence under 3 other names. The record is from Rfam by way of RNAcentral. Lineage: Eukaryota; Metazoa; Chordata; Mammalia; Artiodactyla; Camelidae.